Molecule: long non-coding RNA, 3681 nt
Organism: Mustela lutreola (European mink)
Lineage: Eukaryota; Metazoa; Chordata; Mammalia; Carnivora; Mustelidae
Exons: 3
Source: RefSeq, a predicted model, not a curated record
GACUCACCUUCUGACCUGGGGUAGGGGACAUGCACUGAAGCCUCCUGCGGGGAGGCACAGGGCUGGCGCUGGCGGGCUGGAGCUGCAGAGCCGAGCCUGGCUUCCAAGACCUAGUCUGGGGGCAGCCCCAGGUGGCUGCCGGGAGUGAGGGACUGAGGGAGGCGGGGCAGGUGUCAUCCAUCCGCUCAGAGUUAAGCCAAACCACAGCUCUCCCGGGAGAGACCUGUGAGUGACUCCCCAUGCUGGAGGGAGGCUUCUAGAGUAGCUGAUCUCACGUCCCUGGGGCGGGGGUUUUGGGGAGCAGUUGUCAGCUGGGUAUUUCUUAUGGUUUUCUAUGCCAAGAGAAGCUGGGUUGUGGCUGGCUUGAUGACCUUUCAGGAUGGUGGCUCUGUCAGGUUCCCUAGGGACAGCAGCAUCGCUGGGCCUGAGGAUGUGGGAAGCUGGGAGACAGCCUGAGGAGGAAGACUCCCCAGGAGAGCCUCGGACUGGGUGUUUUCUGGGGGCCUGGUCUCGGGCCCUUGGCCAGCAGGGCCAGGCUGGUCUCUGGAGGCUGUCCGGUCGUGCUCAGCCCGUGGCUAUUGUGGGGAAGCUGGUCUGUGUGCACCAUGGCUGCCCUGGGGGUGAUAUGGGGCUCCUGGAGCAGGGGUGGGGAGAUCAGGUGGGGGCCAGGUGGGGGUAUUGGCACUGGGGGGGGGGGGGGGAGCCGGCCCGGGCAGGUGAGAGCCCACUGCUGGCUUUCCCCACGGUUCCCACUCCCCUCCACUGGGUCCCAGCCCCUCCUCCAGGUGGGUGUUUGGGGGAGCCCUUGGAAGUCCUGUGCUGCUGACCCCUGUACCUGGGGGGAGGCACAGGGCUGGCGCUGGUGGGCUGGAGCUGCAGAGCGGCUCUGCCCACAGCUGGGCAGUCCCACAAAAGUGUUUGCUGCCUUCAGCAGCCUGGCGUCCGUCGAGGCCAGAGCCUGGGGGUGCCGGCUGAAGAAGGUGCGUACACCCCGAGAGACCCUUCCCUGGCAGUAGACACGCCUGCUGGGCGGAGCCCACUGCUGUCUGCUUGGGGGUGGAGGCAAGGAGUCCUCACACCAUGCCCAGCUCUGCGCACACGUGUGUGAGUGUGAACGCGAGUUUGUGAGCACACCUGUGUGGUGCUUGUUGGCUGUGCUUUAAAGGUACUGUCUGGGGUGCCCUGUCGGUGUUCUAUGUUCUGAUAAGGUGGCAAGGCCUGCUGUCACCGACGGGACUGCCUGAGCUCCUCUUCUCCUGCGUGCGCGACGUGGUGCCUGUCCGUCCCUGCCGCUAGCAUUUGAGGGGUGCACCUCCCGCCCCCUUCCUGGGGUAGCCGAGGCAGUGAAGGGCAGUUUCUCUGUUGCACUGCCCUUGAGGUGUUUGGCUGUGGCAGUUCCUCAUGCCCAAGUCAUCCCAGAGAUCAUCAGCUCCAUGCACAGGGCCCUUGCUGGCUUACGGGAGACCUGGUGUAUGGCCUGGAGGCCCUCGGGCCCAGGCCUGUGGUUCCAGAGUUCCGGGCAUGUGUUGCCCGCGCUGUUCCUGGGGGUCUUACUCUGAACACGUGUCCUGUGUCUGAGAGCUUGGCUUGGCUCCUGGGACUGACCCACGGGCACCUGGUGCUCCAGGUCACAGUGGUGGCCAGUGUUGGCCCUGGGCUUUGGGGCCGCUGUCAGCAGGGCGAGGCAGUGGCGGUGGUGCAGGAGCACGUCUCGUGUCUGUCUGGUUCACGGUGACACCGCUGCUUUGUGGUGAAGCUCUCCUAGGGCUUGUUCUCUUCCCACCGCCCUGGCCUGGGCGUGCUGGCUGGAACAGGCGGCCUUUUGUGGGAGGACUAGCUGCUGUGCGAGAGGGCCUCACCCCCUCCUCCUGGGCUCAGGGGAGGCGGGCUGGCACUCCUGAGUCUGCAGAUCUGGGUCGCGCUCUGGAGAGCCCUGAAGUGUCCCUGCAGGGCUGGGUGGGCCGCAGGCAGGGCCGGCCUUGCUGCUCUUCUGUCCCCGUCAGCGUGGCCUGGCGCCCGGGACGUUGCUGCCAUCCCGCAGUAGGGACACCUGAGCUCUCAGUCCCGCACAGGGCUGUCCUGAGCUGCUGGCCAGGCUGGCUCCUGUCCUCUUUUCUCGCCCCCAGGUGCGCUGAGCCAGGGCCUGCCCUAUGUCGCCUUCCUGGUCCCUGAGGCUGGGGAGGCUGUCCUUGCUAGGAUGCAGACGUGUGUCGCAUGGAGACGGAGCCCUGGGACACCGCCAGGGCUGUCAGCACCGUGCUACCGCCCACCGGCAACAGCAGUAGUAAUUGGGGACAGCACAGACCCAGCCAACCCCCGCCUCCCCAGCUCUGCUCACUCUUGGCCCUGAGUGUGCGGCAUGACCUGGACGUGGCUCGAAGGGCCCAGCGCAGUGGACACAGGUGGCCCCGGCCAGUGGCCUGAGGGGAGGUGGGGGCCUGGGCUUCUCUUAAAGCGCAGAAUGUUUUGUCUUUGCAUGACUUGCUGCCGAGUAAAGCCAGCCUUGACCUCAGACCCUGUUUGGGUUGAAACAGCUGGGUUUUGGGGUGCUGGUGUUUGCGUGGCCGUCAGCAUCUCUGCGAGGGUCUGCUCUCCUGGCUGUCUGCUCCAAGGACAGCGGCUCAGUCCCGCUCGACUUCUGGAGGCUGUGGCAGCACUGUCACCUGGGCCUUUGGGAAUCAGUGGCCAGUUUUCCUGAGCGAGUCUCCGAAGCGUUCUCCAGGCCUGGACGUCCAUCCUGCUGUUCUUCCUGCCCUUUCUUGUUCCUCCGCCGAAGAAGGGCUUCAGGCACCAGCCGGGACCCCUGCUCCUUCUGAGCUGCCAGUGGUUUGUGGACAUGGUGCCCAGAGAUUACAAGUAAGCAGAGAGGCAGGCAGAGAGAGAGGGAGGGAAGCAGGCUCCCCGCUGAGCAGAGAGCCUGAUGCGGGGCUCGAUCCCAGGAUCCUGAGAUCAUGACCUGAGCCGAAGGCAGAGGCUUAACCCACUGAGCCACCCAGGCGCCCCUAAAUAAAUCUUUUAAAACAAAAUUGAUGUCUUGCUGCUGGAGUUGGGAGUGAGGAUGGUGUGAGGGUGUAGGAGGGGCGCGCGCCCCUGUUCCGGAGCCGGGACUCUAUCCAACAGGGCGUGUGCCUUGCCCGGGAACCACGCCCGGUCACAGCGGGCCUGCUUUUGGCAGGGCUCUUUAAAGUGGGGUUCUGGAGCCCCUGGGGGCUCAGUCAGUUACGGGACUGCCCUUGGCUCAGGUGGUGAUCUCAGUGUCCAGGCUCGAGCCCUGUGUCGGGCUCCCUGCUCAGUGGGGGGUCCGCUUCCCCCUCGGCUCUCCUCCCCCCCUCGUGCUCGCUCUCUCCCCACCCCCAAUAAGUAAGUAAAAUCUGAAAAAGAAAUGGAAGGCUUGUGGCAGAGCCAGAAGUCUCCUUGCCGGAGCGGGGAAUGACCAAGGGUCCUCUGCUGCCCCCGUGAGCCCACUCUCGGGCUGGUCAGGCCCUGCCCUGCGAGAUGCUGUCUGGCAGAAAAGGCCUGUUGUCUGUCCCCCCUUCAGUCCCUGCCGCCCACCCACAGAAGCCUUGUCUUUUCCGGUGCAGGGACCAGUUGCACUCCAGCCGUGGCCGUCUUGCCCUUGGGAAUCAGGGCCUUGCUGGCCCCGGGCUAGGGUGGCCGGCCGGCACCUCUCGGCCGACAGCA